Molecule: ribosomal RNA, 425 nt
Filed under: uncultured bacterium
Lineage: Bacteria
Description: bacterial SSU rRNA
Rfam family: Bacterial small subunit ribosomal RNA
Source: RNAcentral
GUGAGGAAUUUUGCGCAAUGGGGGCAACCCUGACGCAGCGACGCCGCGUGGAGGACGAAGUCUUUCGGGAUGUAAACUCCUGUCAGUGGGGACGAUAAUGACGGUACCCACAGAGGAAGCACCGGCUAACUCCGUGCCAGCAGCCGCGGUAAGACGGAGGGUGCAAGCGUUGUUCGGAAUUACUGGGCGUAAAGCGUAUGUAGGCGGCAAGUUAAGUUCAAUGUUAAAGCCCACGGCUCAACCGAGGAGAUGCAUUGAAUACUGGCUAGCUAGAGGGUGUUAGAGGAAGACGGAAUUCCCAGUGUAGCGGUGAAAUGCGUAGAUAUUGGGAGGAACAUCGGUAGCGAAAGCGGUCUUCUGGGACAUACCUGACGCUGAGGUACGAAAGCAUGGGGAGCAAACAGGAUUAGAUACCCCAGUAGUCC